Acanthosepion pharaonis is the source of this 97-nucleotide non-coding RNA. Lineage: Eukaryota; Metazoa; Mollusca; Cephalopoda; Sepiida; Sepiidae. The record is from the annotation of a GenBank genome assembly.
GUUGAAACACCGUUUUCCGUACGAUCUCCGAAGUUAAGCAACGUCGUGCCUGGUCAGCACAUAGACUGGUGACCGCUGGGGAAACCAGCUGCCGUAA